Molecule: long non-coding RNA, 947 nt
Organism: Drosophila subpulchrella
Lineage: Eukaryota; Metazoa; Arthropoda; Insecta; Diptera; Drosophilidae
Exons: 3
Source: RefSeq, a predicted model, not a curated record
UCCGGGUCAUUCCUGAAUCGGUUUUGUAUUGUCGGCUGAUUCCCAGGAUGACGACUUCCAAAAUGACCGCCCGUAGGGAGUUCCUGAGCUCUAGUCGAUGUUUCUGACCCCCCGAUAGAGAUGUCUUCCUUUCGACCUGCCUCAUCAACUCAGCAAAGCCUUCUUUGAUAAAUUUGUCAAUCUUAUUAUAUAUGAUAAACCGUUCCAUUUCAGCUCGAAACUGAUUCUGGGAUUCUACCACAAAGUUCCUCACAUCGCUACCAUGGCCUUGGUUGUCGACAAGUGAAUGAUCCUGCCUUCCCUAAAGGGGUCGUAAGGAAACAGAAGGGGAAAGAACUACUAUAAACUAUCCCAUCCUACACGGUGAACUGAUCUGCGGCGCUAUUUCUCUAAUUGACUGUCCUCGAUCUUGGAACAUGAUAGCAACAUUUAUCGUUUAACAUAAAACAAUGACAGAGUCGACUCUUUCCAACUUCGACUCAGUCGAACAUGUUCCCUCCCCUCUGAAAGAUAGAACUUCAGCUUCCCGUAAGGAAACCCAUCAACCACCGCCCGCCGGGUGCAACAGUCCCACACAGGGAUUUGUGUAGACGGAUAGAAUGUCUGUUUUCUUCCUUUCGGUCCCUACCUAAAAGAGCUCUCUUAAUUGGAUCCUAUUCGACGCGGUCGCUGGAGAGGAUUCCCCAUGGGAGUAACAAGUGCUCCGCGAUACAAUUGCGGUUAUGUUUGUUUUUUUUUUUGUGUUUCUUGGUUCUUUGGCUUUGACGAUUUAAAUAUUAAGCCUCACCCAGAAGGAGCGAUAAGAGAUAAAUAACAAAUAGAUACAAAUAUGAAAACACUCGCCGUGAAUUGUUCACAUCCGGCAAUAAAUAAAUUGGCUUAAAUUUUUGAUAUAAAUAAAUAAAUAAUCGUGCAAUAGAUACUGUGCAAUAAAUAGGUUAAUUUUA